UGCGGAGGGAUCAUUACCGAGUUUACAACUCCCAAACCCAAUGUGAACGUUACCAAACUGUUGCCUCGGCGGGAUCUCUGCCCCGGGUGCGUCGCAGCCCCGGACCAAGGCGCCCGCCGGAGGACCAACCAAAACUCUUUUUGUAUACCCCCUCGCGGGUUUUUUAUAAUCUGAGCCUUCUCGGCGCCUCUCGUAGGCGUUUCGAAAAUGAAUCAAAACUUUCAACAACGGAUCUCUUGGUUCUGGCAUCGAUGAAGAACGCAGCGAAAUGCGAUAAGUAAUGUGAAUUGCAGAAUUCAGUGAAUCAUCGAAUCUUUGAACGCACAUUGCGCCCGCCAGUAUUCUGGCGGGCAUGCCUGUCCGAGCGUCAUUUCAACCCUCGAACCCCUCCGGGGGGUCGGCGUUGGGGAUCGGCCCUGCCUCUUGGCGGUGGCCGUCUCCGAAAUACAGUGGCGGUCUCGCCGCAGCCUCUCCUGCGCAGUAGUUUGCACACUCGCAUCGGGAGCGCGGCGCGUCCACAGCCGUUAAACACCCAACUUCUGAAAUGUUGACCUCGGAUCAGGUAGGAAUACCCGCUGAACUUAAGCAUAU
Molecule: ribosomal RNA, 591 nt
Filed under: Trichoderma harzianum
Lineage: Eukaryota; Fungi; Ascomycota; Sordariomycetes; Hypocreales; Hypocreaceae
Description: eukaryotic LSU rRNA
Rfam family: 5.8S ribosomal RNA (bases 217-370)
Source: RNAcentral